Molecule: ribosomal RNA, 407 nt
Filed under: Verrucomicrobiota bacterium
Lineage: Bacteria; Pseudomonadati; Verrucomicrobiota
Description: Verrucomicrobia bacterium partial 16S ribosomal RNA
Rfam family: Bacterial small subunit ribosomal RNA
Source: RNAcentral
UGGGGAAUAUUGGACAAUGGAGGAAACUCUGAUCCAGCAAUGCGGUGGGUGUGAAGAAGGUUGUAGGACAGUAAAACACUUUGAGGAGGGAAGAAAAAAAUGACGGUACAUACAGAAGAAGCAACGGAUAAAUACGUGGCAGCAGCCGCGGUAAUACGUAUGUUGCGAGCGUUAUCCGGAAUUAUUGGGCUUAAAGGGCAUCUAGGCGGUUCUGUAAGACAGAUGUGAAAGCCCCGGGCUCAACCUGGGAAUGGCAUUUGUGACUGCAGGACUAGAGUUCAUCAGAGGGGGGUGGAAUUCCAAGUGUAGCAGUGAAAUGCGUAGAUAUUUGGAAGAACACCAAUGGCGAAGGCAGCCCCCUGGGAUGCGACUGACGCUCAUGCACGAAAGCGUGGGGAGCAAACAGG